CUGCAACUCGCCUGCACGAAGUCGGAAUUGCUAGUAAUCGUAGGUCAGCAUACUACGGUGAAUACGUUCCCGGGCCUUGUACACACCGCCCGUCAAACCAUGAGAGUUGGCAACACCCGAAGUCGGUAGUCUAACCGCAAGGAGGACGCCGCCGAAGGUGGGGUUGAUGAUUAGGGUUAAGUCGUAACAAGGUACC
This 196-nucleotide ribosomal RNA is filed under the name uncultured bacterium. RNAcentral's name for it is "partial 16S ribosomal RNA". It matches the Rfam family "Bacterial small subunit ribosomal RNA", at positions 1305 to 1500 of the family's 1533-position model. The record is from RNAcentral.